Molecule: ribosomal RNA, 497 nt
Filed under: uncultured bacterium
Lineage: Bacteria
Description: bacterial SSU rRNA
Rfam family: Bacterial small subunit ribosomal RNA
Source: RNAcentral
AUGAACGCUAGCGACAGGCCUAACACAUGCAAGUCGAGGGGCAGCACAAGGAGCAAUCUGAGGUGGCGACCGGCGCACGGGUGAGUAACACGUAUGCAACCUGCCUGUAAGCGGGGAAUAACCCGUUGAAAGACGGACUAAUACCGCAUAAUACUAAAUUACUGCAUGGUAAUUUAUUUAAACAUUUUAUGGCUUACAGAUGGGCAUGCGCAUGAUUAGCUAGUUGGGGAGGUAACGGCUCCCCAAGGCAACGAUCAUUAGGGGUUCUGAGAGGAAGGUCCCCCACACUGGUACUGAGACACGGACCAGACUCCUACGGGAGGCAGCAGUGAGGAAUAUUGGUCAAUGGACGAGAGUCUGAACCAGCCAAGUCGCGUGCAGGAAGAAUGUCCUUAAUGGAUUGUAAACUGCUUUUGCAGGGGAAUAAAGUGCAUCACGUGUGAUGUUUUGUAUGUACUCUGCGAAUAAGGAUCGGCUAACUCCGUGCCAGCAGCAGC